This is a long non-coding RNA of Sinocyclocheilus anshuiensis, 108 nucleotides long. RefSeq lists it as uncharacterized. Lineage: Eukaryota; Metazoa; Chordata; Actinopteri; Cypriniformes; Cyprinidae. The transcript is spliced from 3 exons. The record is from RefSeq and is a predicted model, not a curated record.
CAAAGUUGUCCUAAAACCAAAACAAUACUCGUUCUUGUCUUAGGAAAACUUUAAUGAAACUUUUUGAUCCACUUCAAAUGUUGACUACUAUAUACUGUGUGUGUGUGU